Long non-coding RNA from Pipra filicauda (Wire-tailed manakin), 1298 nucleotides. RefSeq lists it as uncharacterized. The record is from RefSeq and is a predicted model, not a curated record. NCBI's taxonomy places the organism in Eukaryota, Metazoa, Chordata, Aves, Passeriformes, Pipridae. The transcript has 3 exons.
GCCAUGGAGGUGGGGGUGGAGGUAGGGGUGGCAGACUGAGAGAGGUUCAUGUUGAGGUCAACAGGGGUCGUGACGGAAGCGGUCUGGGUGCUGACUUUAGCCAUCUCUAAGCUGCAAACGAAGAGAGGAAGAGGAACAAACAGGGUAUUGAGUAUCCGUAGUAUAUGACUGCUGAGAAGCUUUCUUCUUUGCGAAAGUAUGUUAAAAGACCUCAUAUAGAUCCCAUUCCGUCAAAAGAAUCAUUAGACAGUAAUCAACAGAAGUGUGAGAGUUCACAGGCUUUUCUAAAGUGGAUGAUAAUAUGAGUAUUCAGAUUUUGCAGCUUUUGUCAUUCAACGUGUACCUGGAAUUGCACCAGAUUAAGCUCCUUUCCAUAUAAACCAACAGCAAACACAGCUUCUAAUGAUUCAGGCUUUACAACCCAUUAGGAAUUGAGUAAUACUAUGCGAAAUGGACACUGCAAAGCAACUUUCUGGAUCUACCCAGGACAGACAUUUGCUGGAGAGCAGACAGAGCAACCUCGCAGAAGCAUGAUCACUUACAAAGCAAACUUACCUUGCAUUAAUGAGGUACUGUGCUAAGCUGAUGUUUGCAGGGGAUCCUGUGAUUGUAACUUGUCGUUCUGCGGAGCCUUCUGUGGCAUUAGCAAUCUUGAUCUGCGCUCCUGACAUCUGCCUGAUUUCAUUUAUCUUACUGCCUUGUCUGCCAAUAAUGCAGCCUAUUAACUGGAGUGGGACAAAGACCGAGAUUAGUGCCACAGACACAAGCAAAAACCACUUAACUGCAAUCUGUAGUACUGCUAAAAACAUGGUUAUGAAAAGCUCAGUAGCAAAACAGAUUUUUGCUGUGCUGUUUGGAAGGGGUAACUGGUGCAACCUAUUGGCUCUAUGGCUCUAGAUCUAGCUCUGCUGCUACGUGGUUAUUAUUAGCUCACUCUCAGACUAUUUUGCUAUCUCCCAUGGCAGAAAAUGGCAGUGUGCCAUGGUGCUGAGGAAAACAAAACACAGCCCAGCCUGACUUGCCAGUGGCAGCAGCAAGCCAAGAACACCAGCUGGAAGUCAGGCUGACCAUCCAAAGCUGCCACGUGCAGCUCUGUACCCUUCCAGUGCACUGCUAGUCCUAGACCUCCCUGGGAACAUGUGGUUCUUACUUGGCCAGGUACUGUAUGAUUAAAGUCAGUGGGAUUUACAGCUCUGUAACUGCAGGCAGAAGCAGGCAUAGGAAGAGACUGAAAUUUAUCUGCUUUCCUUUACAGACGCUUACCAAAACUCAUAUAUUGUGAAUAAAACUGAGCCUGA